RNAcentral lists this ribosomal RNA (776 nucleotides) under uncultured Halomonas sp. Its description in RNAcentral is "bacterial SSU rRNA". It matches the Rfam family "Bacterial small subunit ribosomal RNA", at positions 677 to 1455 of the family's 1533-position model. Lineage: Bacteria; Pseudomonadati; Pseudomonadota; Gammaproteobacteria; Oceanospirillales; Halomonadaceae. The record is from RNAcentral.
AGCGGUGAAAUGCGUAGAGAUCGGGAGGAAUACCAGUGGCGAAGGCGGCCUUCUGGACUGACACUGACGCUGAGGUGCGAAAGCGUGGGUAGCAAACAGGAUUAGAUACCCUGGUAGUCCACGCCGUAAACGAUGUCGACUAGCCGUUGGGGUCCUCGAGACCUUUGUGGCGCAGUUAACGCGAUAAGUCGACCGCCUGGGGAGUACGGCCGCAAGGUUAAAACUCAAAUGAAUUGACGGGGGCCCGCACAAGCGGUGGAGCAUGUGGUUUAAUUCGAUGCAACGCGAAGAACCUUACCUACUCUUGACAUCGAGCGAACUUUCCAGAGAUGGAUUGGUGCCUUCGGGAACGCUCAGACAGGUGCUGCAUGGCCGUCGUCAGCUCGUGUUGUGAAAUGUUGGGUUAAGUCCCGUAACGAGCGCAACCCUUGUCCCUAUUUGCCAGCGAUUCGGUCGGGAACUCUAGGGAGACUGCCGGUGACAAACCGGAGGAAGGUGGGGACGACGUCAGGUCAUCAUGGCCCUUACGAGUAGGGCUACACACGUGCUACAAUGGCCGGUACAAUGGGCUGCAAUCCCGCGAGGGGGAGCUAAUCUCAUAAAGCCGGUCUCAGUCCGGAUCGGAGUCUGCAACUCGACUCCGUGAAGUCGGAAUCGCUAGUAAUCGUGCAUCAGAAUGGCACGGUGAAUACGUUCCCGGGCCUUGUACACACCGCCCGUCACACCAUGGGAGUGGACUGCACCAGAAGUGGUUAGCCUAACUUCGGAGGGCGAUC